GGGUGCCUGGGUGGCUCAGUCAGUUAAGCAUCCGACUUUAGCUCAGGUCACGAGCUCGUGCCCCGAGUCAGGCUCUGGGCUGAUGGCUCAGAGCCUGGAGCCUGCUUCCAAUUCUGUGUCUCCCUCUCUCUCUGCCCCUCCCCCGUUCAUGCUCUCUCUCUGUCUCAAAAAUAAAUAAACGUUAAAAAAAAUUUUUU
Long non-coding RNA from Neofelis nebulosa (Clouded leopard), 197 nucleotides. RefSeq lists it as uncharacterized. Lineage: Eukaryota; Metazoa; Chordata; Mammalia; Carnivora; Felidae. The record is from RefSeq and is a predicted model, not a curated record. The transcript is spliced from 2 exons.